RNAcentral lists this ribosomal RNA (636 nucleotides) under Amazophrynella minuta (tiny tree toad). Its description in RNAcentral is "partial 16S ribosomal RNA". It matches the Rfam family "Bacterial large subunit ribosomal RNA", at positions 1658 to 2598 of the family's 2925-position model. Lineage: Eukaryota; Metazoa; Chordata; Amphibia; Anura; Bufonidae. The record is from RNAcentral.
CACUGUUAAUCUAACACAAGAACAUUGCAAGAAAGAUUUAAAAGAAAAGAAGGAACUCGGCAAAUUAUUAACCUCGCCUGUUUACCAAAAACAUCGCCUCUUGAAUUAUAAAUAUAAGAGGUCCCGCCUGCCCAGUGAUUUAAUUUAACGGNNNNNNNNNNNNNNNNNNNNNNNNNNAGCGUAAUCACUUGCUCUCUAAAUCAGGACUAGUAUGAACGGCACCACGAGGGUUCUACUGUCUCCUUUUUCCAAUUAGUGAACUUAAUCUUCCCGUGAAGAAGCCGGAAUAACCCUAUAAGACGAGAAGACCCUUUGGAGCUUUAAACAUCUUAGCACACAUCUUCAUAUUUCUGAAGCACGAUGACUAAAAGUUUUAGGUUGGGGUGACCGCGGAGUAAAAUAAACCCUCCACACUGUAAGAAAUCUUAACUAAGAGCCACACCUCUAAGUAUCAGCAUACUGACAUCUAUUGACCCAAUAUAUUUGAUCAAUGAACCAAGUUACCCUAGGGAUAACAGCGCAAUCCAUUUCAAGAGCCCCUAUCGCCAAAUGGGUUUACGACCUCGAUGUUGGAUCAGGAUCUCCUGGUGGUGCAGCCGCUACUAAUGGUUCGUUUGUUCAACGAUUAAAAUCCUA